AACUUUGGUCAGCAGAGAGGCUCGAAAAAGCUGCUCUCUGGCCCCGCCCACUGACAUUCAACUCAACCAAUGAGAUGAUUUCUGUCUCCAGAGCAGAAAGGUUUGAGGAACUAAAAGCACAGUCAGCUUGAUGUUGAGGAGAAGGGCUGUGCAGCAGAGAGGCGCUUUAGUUUUUCAUUCUCCUGCAGUGGAAGAACAUUGCUGCUCUGCUGUCUCUUUGACUUUAACAACUCCAAAGACAUGUUGCUUCACCUCUUUUUACUUUGCUCUCACUUUAUAGCCCUGAGUUCCAUGAACAGCAUAAAGCCAGAAAGGACUGAAGAACAUGUUGCAGAGGGAAGAAACAUCAACCUGGCCUGUAAAUAUGAGGGUGCUAUCAACAGUAUCCAGUGGUACCGACAAUACCAGAGAUCCAGACCAGAGUUCCUGCUCUACAUCACAGAGGGAGGAUCAAUCCAUCCAACUGGUUCUGGUUUCUCAGCUCACAUCAACAAAACAGAGAAACGUGUAGAUGUGGAGAUCAUCUCAGCUAAAGUGACUGACUCUGCUGUGUACUACUGUGCUCUGCAGCCCACAGUGACAGGAAACAGCAAAACUCUGCACAAAAACCUCUGCAGCAAACACAACACAAUACUCCACAACGUCCACUAGAGGGAGUCACACACUGCUCAAUUUCAACGGGAUGUGAUG
Chelmon rostratus (copperband butterflyfish) is the source of this 690-nucleotide non-coding RNA. NCBI's taxonomy places the organism in Eukaryota, Metazoa, Chordata, Actinopteri, Chaetodontiformes, Chaetodontidae. The record is from the annotation of a RefSeq genome assembly.